RNAcentral lists this non-coding RNA (28 nucleotides) under Mus musculus (house mouse). Lineage: Eukaryota; Metazoa; Chordata; Mammalia; Rodentia; Muridae. The record is from RNAcentral.
CUGGCAUAGGUGCCUAUGUGGCUAAUGG